CUAUGAUGCAACAGUGCAAGAUUACGUCAAUCUUGUCUGUUCCAUGAAUUUCACUUCAGAACAUACCCGUACCAUCAUUCGAUCAAAUUACAAUUGCUCGAAUCCAUCGUCAGACUUGAACUACCCGUCUUUUAUUGCUCUAUAUGAAGUUGAAGCAAAGAAAAGCACUGUAACUCGGUUCAAGAGGACGCUCACAAAUGUAGGGGCUGGUGCAGCUACAUAUAAAGUCAAGGUAAAAGCACCAAAGAAUGCCACAGUGAAAAUAUCACCAGAGACAUUAGUUUUCAGAAAGAAAUAUGACAAGCAAAGCUAUUCUGUGACAAUUCAUUAUACGAGUAACGGCGAGCAUGAGACCACAGAUGGUUCACUCACUUGGAAUGAAGUGAAUGGCAAGCAUGCGGUCAGAAGUCCCAUUGUAGUCCAUCCUAGAACCGACAGCGAUGAAUGAUCUGCAUUGCAUCAAUCUUCUGAGUGCUAAUAUUUUGUGCUAACAUGUCUUAUAGUAGAAAAAAUGCAUUUCAUGCUGUCCUUUUUUUGAAUAAUGUAAAAGUUUUAUGAAAAUAAAGUUUGAAUAAUCAGAUUGGCAGUAUCUGCGGAUCAAGGCAGCCAGUUGGCCAGUACAUAUGAAAAAUAAAACCAUUCGAAAAGAUUCAACUCAUUGAAGAUAGAAUUAAGGGCAUAUAUCACAGUAAUUUGAAGAGUGAAAAUUUUACCCAGUUAUAAAAGAUUGAUCCAAUACCCUACUUCUAGAAUAGAAAGAAUCUAGCUAGGGAAAACUGAUAAACAUCUCGUGAUGGAACCACAGCCAAACUACAUGCAAACAAUCAGAGCAGCAUUUGAACAAGACAAGGUGCAAUACAUGAACAAACUUGAGUAGAAAACUAUGUUAGAUUCGAGCAAGAAAUCAACUUACAGCGUCAUUUCAUUAAGAUCGACAUACAAUUGUCCAUAUUUGGGCGAUAGUUUCCUUUCAGCUCGUGCAGAAAAUGUGAGAACACCACAAUCCACUCAUUCCCAUACCUCAAUACAGCUACAAGGCCGCAUCAAUUCGAGUAUCAAAGCGUACAGAGAUGUAUUUCUGCAUAAUAACAUCAAUUAUCUCAUUCAGGUAUUCUUCGAGUAGUUGAAAGACAAAAGUGAGCAUGUUUUCUUACUCUAAAAAUCAUUCACAUUUCUUGAUGGCUGAGAGUUCGAUCAACCAUCGCAUCGUGCCUUCACUCUUAGCCUCUCAUCAUCGAAUCACCGCGCCGACCAAAUACGAUCUUCGUAACCCUAAUUAUUUUCCCCAAAUUACCCAUCUUCGUAACCCUAAUUAUUUUCAACUGCUAAA
This 1330-nucleotide long non-coding RNA is filed under the name Salvia miltiorrhiza (redroot sage). RNAcentral describes it as "long non-coding RNA (SMIL_LNC005272)". Lineage: Eukaryota; Viridiplantae; Streptophyta; Magnoliopsida; Lamiales; Lamiaceae. The record is from RNAcentral.